UCUGCCGUUCCGUUCGCUCGCUUCUUCUUCGAUUUCAUUUUUUGCACUCACUUAUCACCGUAUAUUAAUAUCGAUAUAUUUGAUUGGCCGCGGGUUAGGCCUCAUCUCCCUCGUCUUCUCUAACGUCUUUUCUUUUCCUCUUUCGAUCGGUGCACAUUCCGGAGUGCUGCAUGCCACGAUUACUUGUUGCUUCAAAUAUCGGCACCCUGAAGGGCUUGCAAUGCCCAUGCCCAGUUCAUUCUUUCUGCAGCCUCAGCAACCGCACGCCUCUGCGCGCCCUGAGACUGGCUUCCAGCUAUCAUGUGAUGCUCGCUCUUCAUCCCUAAUCAAAACGCCUUAUAAGGCUCCCUCUACUUAAAAGGCUCGUUUUUGUUUUUCUUAAACUUCCCGACGUCGAAUAGAUAAGACUGUCAUAUGCCACUUACAUACGGAAGAGAGCUUAAAGGUAUCGCAAAGUUUGUCCGAGCGUCAUAGGGAUGAGAGGGAUCCCUGAUUACGGAAAUUGCAUUCCUUUUGUUCGAAUAUCUAUAUGGAUUGUGGAUGUGUAUUGCAUCCGCAACUGCCGUAUGCAUUGUAGACAUCGAACAUUAUAACACAUUUAACGGAAAAAUCUUCCAUAUGAUUAUCUUGGGAUUGAGCUGUACAGUGUUCUGAUCCAUUGGUAACCAGCUGGAAUAUGAAAUUUGCCAAUCAUAUUCUGAAGUUAUAGGAGAGCUCCUUCAUUCAUAUGUUUUUCCUUACCUUGUUGGAAAAAACAAGAAGAAUGAAUCUUAUAAAUUUCUCAUACCUAAUGGCCAUCAUGAUGCUACAAUUAAAUAGUAAACAAAGUCAAGUCACCACUUUCAUCAAGGAUUUUUAAAGUACAUUUACCCGUGUCAAACUUUUCAGCAUAAAUCCAAGUAGGAAAUGUUUCUUUCCUAUUUUGUUUGGUGUUGCUCAUGAUUGAUUCCGUCUCAUUUGAUUUAGUUCAAUGUUUUUAUCUUCGCUACUUCUCCAUUUCCUCGGAGAGUACUUCUUACUAUCUCUAACCUAAUCAGUUAUUAACAAAGCUUUCUUGGCAUAUUCCUCUUGCUACACUCAUUUUAGUUCAGUUUUCUUGUUUAGUAUUCAUAUCAUGGGUUAGGUGGGACAUGUUCCAUGAACAGAAAGUUGCAUUGUUCUCGUGUGCUAGAUGAGCUGUAGGAUCAUUUAAACUUCUUGUAUUCCUAUUUGAGAUUAUGUCUCCUGGCAGUUUGAGCUUCACAUCUUGCUUUCUCUCAUUUGAUGCAUUCUUUUUAGCAUACCAUAUUCUAUUAUUGCUUCGUUCUGUUGCAGUCUUCAAAAAAAAUUGCAUUGUCAAGAAGUUCCUUCUAAGUUAACCAUUUCGUGUGAGCGAGAGAAUCUUAUUCCUGAGUUUCUUGUUCCAUUCUGACUUGCUCUAUUAGUUUUAUGAAUUACAAUUGAAUAUCUUUCACAUGUAUAACAUAUGAGUUCAUUAUUAUUGUUCAAAGUUCUUCACAGGAUUGCUAUGUAUAUACAUGGACCAAGCUGAAUGAUAAGUUGCCUUUUCUUUGAAUCUCUCAACUGAGAUUGAGACCAAAAAAUAACAUGACAUAGUGACAACCUUAUACCUGAUCAGUAUAGGGAAUUGUGGUUUAUUUGACAGUUCCUAAAUAAUCCUUGAAAAGGAAGAACUAAAGCCGUUGCAACUUAAUAUGGACACUAUUAAGACAGAGGUGUAUCAAGGAAUCGUUGAACAUGGAUUGAAAGCAGAUAUCUCCAGGUCUUGUCUUAGUUUUCUAUCAAUAAAACCUUCAUUUUUCUAUGGUUAACAACAUUUGUUGCUGGUGUCUGUUCUGUGUCACAUUGAUGCACUCCAUUGCCUUUUUCUGACCGACACAUACACACAUAUUAGAUUAUUGAUAGGUGUAUUCUGCACGCUAUACUCAUGGCAUAUGCCUAGUAGCAUAGAACUUCUAGCUGAGGCAAUCUACCAGCUUUGAAACUCUCCUGAAACUCAGACCUGUACCUGCUCCUAAGUGCUUCCUUCAAGCAUUUUUAUAAUAUCCGCUUCACUGCACCUGUACCUGCUUCCGCACCUACUCUUGAUUCUGGCAACUAAGUGGCAUACUUGAUGCAGAUGUAUCAGCGAUAGGUCAUGCUGCAAAGCUCAGAUUAUCCAUCUUGAAAUUUUUGCCAGAAUGUUUAAUUAAUGGUGUAAAAUGGAUUAUUGUACCACUAAAUUAUACAUAUGUUGUGUGCUAUAUUUUAAUUUUGCUGGAGUUAUCUUUGUGAGAUCUUGAUUGAUGCUUAGUUGGACUGAAAAUGCUAAAACAUGCCAAUUGAAUUACUACUUUGUCUCUAUACUUAUAGUAGCAAACACAUCAAGAUCCUUUUAGUUGAGUUGCUGGAGCAAAAGAUGAGUAGCUGGAGUGAGUGGUGUAAUGGUCAUAUCCUGGAUUCCAAUCUCUAGGUGGUUCUGAUAGAAACAAGGAUUAGCUCCAUGUCAACGCUGCUAUUUGCAUCAGACUCCUAGCUUUAAUCUGAAGCAAGAAUGAACUAAGGACUGCUUUGGCUGCUCAAAGCAUGCUCUGCCUUGCUAAUGUUCUGAUUCUUCUGAUAAUGUGCAUGUAUAAAUUAGCAUUGUGGUUAAUACUUGAUUUAUAUUGAUUGUAUACAUAUUGUUUUUUGUUCACAAAACUUUCUGAGUUUGGAGCGAACCUGGUUUGUUCUAUUAGGAUUAGGAAAUCUAUUCUCCAUUUUUUCUAAUGUAUUAAAGUUUCAGUCUCCGUCAUUGAUUAUCUUAUUGGACAUGGUCUAGCUUUAAUAAUUCAUAAACUUGAUGGUUUUAGUUUGGAGACUUUGGAAGAAACAGAUGGUUUACAUAAAAUAUAUGGAUGUUCUAAUUGUGAUUUCAGUGGAUGUUUGUGUACUAGAACUGUUUAAGAUGGAGGGCUGCUUUAUCAGAAAAGGGAUGGGUAUGGGAAUCUCUUGGACUUUGUUCGCCUUGUUGCUUGGUGAGCGGUUCAUAUUUUUAAUAACUUUUUUGGAUUGCUAUCAAUCAUGACAUAGCGAAAGCUUUUUUUUUUUCUUUCCUUUGUUCACACUUUCUAACAAAUAUUGUUGUACUUGAAGCAGCAUGCCAUCUUAAUAAAGAUUGUCUUCUUCUUCUUUUCAUUAUAAAAUUUUUCAAAUGCAACACCGAGGAGCUGAACCCUGGAAGGUGCCGCUCAAAUGAGCUAAUAGUUGUUAGCAAGUUAAUGAUACAUCGUAUAUAACCACAGGGAUGCGGCUCGAGAAACACCACUAAAUAAGUGAUACGUCUUGUUUAGCAAUGUUUCUUGAGCUGCAUUUGUAGUUAGUUGAGCCAUCUGCCAUAGAAUUUGGGACAAAACAGCUAUUUCAGGACUAAACUCGAUACCGAAGUCAGUGCAGCAAUCCAUAUUUCAUGCUAUUUGCUGCACCUCUUUGUCCUGGAAGCAGAAUCUUCUUUUCAGUUUUGUCCUUCCUUCCUUCAGAAAUUUCAAGAAGUUUGUUCAGCCUAUAGAAAUCAUUUACCAUCUUUAAACAGAGUUCAAGUAUUUGCGCAUCACUUGCUAGUCAUACUUCAAGCAUCCUUGUCAACCUUUUCAUGCGGCUUCACUAAUUGCACUGCAUGUCAAUCCAUACAGUUUGGCUGUCCCUGCUCUUAAACUCGUCAGAUAUAGCACCCUAAGCCAUGUCAUCUUCUUCAUCCACAGAAAAGUCAUAUAUAGCAACUGCAUGGAAGAUCAUUGUACCGGAGCCUCAUCUCCAAUUAUAGCCACUAAAAUUGAAUUCCAAGGAUUAGUUUGGUUGAGAUUAAUUUGAACAUUCCUCGGGACUGGACGCCCCUUAGUUGCAAAGAAAUCAGCUGUUCAUGAACUAGUCUGGUCAUCGCUGCAUGAUCUGCGACCGAGGAGCACAAAGGAAUUUCUUUUUCAAAUCGAGCAGCAAAUCUUGCCAGUUCCAGGGGACGGAAGCUCAAAACUGACCCCUGAUUUGCUUCCCUAGUCACUCGAUCAUCCUCUCGCCAAAUUCUAUUUGCGUCUGUUUAUUCAUCAACCCUGCUGGCUGCUGAUGUAAUUAGGAUGUAAGUCUGUGGAAAUAGCAUUCCCAUUUACUUUCCCGACACUGUAGGUUAUUUGAUAUUAGAACCUCAUUUUCUAUAAGUCUCGAAUCAGGAUUGUUCAUUUUUGGGUAUGACAUUUAUCAAAUCUAUCGACCUCAGGAUAUGCAACCUACAUACUCUGAUGAUGUAGGUCGCUGACUUUCCUCUCUGCAUGCGUCGUUUUUCUUUUCUUCGCGCUUUUUUUUUUUUCUUCUUUUUUUUGCUCUGUGCAGCAAUAUAAAAUGGUGUACGCUGGGAACUUUAUUCGUCGUACGGCACCAUUGCCUUCACAUUGGGGAAAUGGGCAAAUGCGAAUAGAAAGAAAAGUGGUUGCGUCUCACGCGGGCAUCUGCCUCUUUGCACGCACUCUUCCCUGGCGCUCCUCGAAUUGGCUUCCGUGGUCUAUGAGAGAGACCUGUAGGUCCCCCGGACCAGGUCAGAGCCGUGGCACAGACCGCAUCAUCGUCAUCUCAGGAUUUUGCUGUCUUCCUGAUCGAGAGGAAUCUUUGAUGCAUGGAAGGAGCUGAUGAUUGGGGCAGUCCUGCUGGUCGGCACUACGGGCCAGGGAAAGCAGACGUCUUCCGAUUCUCUGUCAGCUCAUGGCUUCAGCGAAUGAAGUACGGCGGUAUGUGAGAUUGAAAUGCAUGCAUCUAUCCAUCCAUGAAAAAUGCUUAUCCUGCUGGAUUUUGGUAUGGGUCAUGCUCAGCGGCAUCGAGAUGGUUGCCUGACCAGCGCGCUUACGAUUACCAUGCUGCAGAAAAGUUCGGACGGACGAUGAGAACCACUUUGACGUGUUCGCGUAUUUGAUCAAUGGUUCCGUGUACAACUUCCUCAUUGACCGGGAGACAGAUUUGAUCAUUCCGCCUCCUCAUCAAGGGUUGAAAGAGGUGGAGAGGACAGCCAGCUUGAGUUUUGGUAUGCCGGCACCAAAGGAUGAUCCGGCGGGUGUGUGUCCCACGUAAAUGAAUUCCGACGGAAUUCAUUGUUGGCUCGUGCGUUGACUCAUGAUUUGAUUCAACCCAGUCCAUUUUAGAGGUCUUGUAGAGCCGGAUCGGAUUCUAAAAUUGAACCUGUUCUAUUUUCGGAUUGGAUCUAGAUUUACUAAAUUUAUAUCCGAUCCGAUCUGAAUCUGUAAAAUUAUUUAGACAUGUGGGCUGCAGCCCGCGGAGGUGCAAACACAAAUUCUAAAGUCAUGGAUGGAUCGAUCUGCAUCGGAUCCAACUCGGACCCAAAUCAAACUGAAAUCGGAUUCGAAUUUUUUGGAUUGGAUCUGAGUUAUAUAUGGAGCCGACCCGACUCGAUCUUUUAUCGGAUCAGGUCUGAGUCCAAAAUUAGAACCCGAACAAAAAAUCAAGUUAGAUUGGAUCAUGAGUGACCCCGAUCUAACAUGACCCAUUUGAACCUUUAUUUGCGCCCGUCCAUCGUUGAAUCACCCAAGUCACAUAUCUCGAAGCGAUCCGAACUCCCUCAUUCAUCCCGACAUGCAUAUAUCUCGAAGCAAGCAGUGGAUUAUUGCAACGUGGAUGGGCGCGAAGGUAGGCGAAUCCUUCUUUCCACAAUCCUGGUCCGAGAAUUUUUUUCAUUUUUUAAUGUUUUUUCUUUCUCUUUUUUGUUGGCUACACAAAAAAAUUGGAGGGUGAGGUUCCAAAAGUUUUGAGGGAUGAUAUUACAUCCAGACUCGGACCAGAGACUUCUCGUUUUUUUUCUUAAUUAACAUGAUAGAAAUUCUGCUUUUCUUUUUUGCCACCCUAGCACUAAUGUUGGGGAACUAAAGGAGCGACUUCUGAUAAGGCAGGGCUCCUGUGAUGCUUUGGUUUGUAUUUUUAUUCCAUGAAGCGGUUUUAUGUACACAAAGUCAUCUAAACAAGUGUAGUGAAAUGUCUUGUGCUACGCUAUCAUCCAAAUUUUGUCCACGAUGCAUUCUAGAAUUGUCGAGAGGAGCGCAUAUCGGACGUAAUAGAAGAGCAGGAAAUUAAUUAACCAAUGCAAUCACGGACGGUCUUUGGCCUUUUGUUGAAAGUCCCUUGACGCUCUCCUGCUCCGGAUCCAUCAGUAGAGAUGCGCUAGCUCCGCCAUCCAAUAAGUUCGAUCCCUCUUCUGUCGGAAAAACCAGCAAGAUCCGGUCCUGUCCCACCGGCAGACGACCCACGGCUUGCUUAUAACAUGAAACAGCGGUACGGACAAAAUCCUGGCUCGAUAAUUUUCAUGGUAUAAAUGGUAAUUUAAAUUACUCUAGCAUAAGUGCAACCAGCCAAAUCAUUAAAAAAAAAAAAGCGCGAUAUUUUCAAAAUCAGGCUUCCAGCAGCAGGUGGGGCCGGAGACCAAAUAUUGCCUGUAUUCUAUGGCUUCUCCAUCCGGUGGGAGGGCCAAUCGUCGCCCAUCGAUGAGCAGAAACACUACUGCUUGCCCCAGACCGAGGGAGUGGGCGAGCACUUGGCCCCCUGCCAUGGGCUGACCCUCAGCCUGACGCCAGCCAUUACGAUGGAUAGGGACGGCCACGAGCGAGCGUGAUCCACACACUCGCGCACAGGAACGGCAGGGAGUUGCAUCAUGCGACAUGGGGUGGCCCUUUUUUUUGUUUUUGGUUUUUGUGCGCGCGCGCGCGUUGCAUUCCGAAGAUUAAUGUCAUGUCACGUCCCGUUGGCAGGGGAGGGAGUUAUCGGUGCCGCUACUAUGCUUGGAGGAGCUAACAUUGUGCUGGAAGGGGACUUAAAGGAUGCUGAUCAAUUGGAUAAUGAAACCAGCAACCCGGAUUGAAGGUGAUUAUCAUCUUCCGAAAUUUAGAGGAUCAGUUUCACCCUUGUCCUAUCCGAAGCUGUCCAGAUCCACAGAGAGACUAAUGAUGCUGUGGAUAAGAUAGCUUUUUUAUGGGGCUAAUCAUGCGAGCCAUGUACUCUGGGACUCCAUCUCCUCGGUUCCAAUGUCAUAUAUUGUGAUUUCAGUGGACGUAUGUGUACUAGAACUGUUCAAGAUGGAGGGCUGCUUUAUCAGAAAAAAGAUCGGUGUGGGAAUCUCUUGGCCUAACGAUGCUCGGUCAAACUACCGGGCCCUCCUCGGUCCCCGCCUUGCCCCCUCCAAAUUUCCAAAGGCUGUUCGACUCCAACAAUUUGUCGGUCACCGCAAAAGCAGCCACAACAUAUCCACAUGCCUCAUCAUCAUCAUACUCGACCGCCCAACUUGGUUUUGUGAAACAGAAAUUCACGGUACAAAGGAAGCGUUCGUUCGGUAAAUGGCAAGCAGCUUAGGCACACAUGUGCUUCUCCCUGCAUCCAGUCCGAGCACGGUCAGCAGAUUCUCCAAUCUCUCUCUCUCUCUCUCUCUCUCUCACACACACACACACACACACACA
Phoenix dactylifera (date palm) is the source of this 7457-nucleotide long non-coding RNA. RefSeq lists it as uncharacterized. Lineage: Eukaryota; Viridiplantae; Streptophyta; Magnoliopsida; Arecales; Arecaceae. The record is from RefSeq and is a predicted model, not a curated record.